Long non-coding RNA from Gasterosteus aculeatus aculeatus (three-spined stickleback), 315 nucleotides. The record is from Ensembl. NCBI's taxonomy places the organism in Eukaryota, Metazoa, Chordata, Actinopteri, Perciformes, Gasterosteidae.
ACGCCCUUCUCCGUUUUCUGCAUUCUGAAUACGGAGCUUCGUGCGGCAUUGUGUUGUUACCGUAUUAAUAACGUUAUAGUGCGCUGUACUACUUCUGUCUGAAUAGUGUGAACACACUAAAGAGUUUGCCGUCACCUACAUGUUGAACUGUGAACUGGUCCCAGUUUACACUGGACUCACGUUUACAAUCACGGGAAAUGAUGAUAGUCUUGUUGUUGCUGGGUGCCCUUGGUUGUAUGGAAAACUAAAUUUCCACGUUGAAAUCACGUCUCGUGCUCACUGGUUUACUCGACUGCUUCUCUGCUCACUGCCUCA